This 236-nucleotide long non-coding RNA is filed under the name Ananas comosus (pineapple). RNAcentral describes it as "long non-coding RNA (ACOM_LNC024439)". Lineage: Eukaryota; Viridiplantae; Streptophyta; Magnoliopsida; Poales; Bromeliaceae. The record is from RNAcentral.
GGUGGAGUAAUAUUCGAAAUUGAUUACGGUGAGUGCGUAGUCAAGUUUCGAGGACGAAAUUUCCUUUAAGGGGGGGAUGAUGUAAGAGCUGAGAUUUUUUGCUGUACAGAUAAACUCUGUGUUGAUGAAGUUUUUGUGUGUAAUUUAAUUAUAUAAACAUUCGUCAAGUUUCUGGAGAAAAUGAGUAAGGAUGGAGAAGUUACGCGAUCUUUAGUUUUCACUUAAGUAAAUAGUAA